AGAGUUUGAUCAUGGCUACAGAACGAACGCUGGCGGCAUGCCUAACACAUGCAAGUCGAACGAGACCUUCGGGUCUAGUGGCGCACGGGUGCGUAACGCGUGGGAAUCUGCCCUUUGCUUCGGAAUAACAGUUAGAAAUGACUGCUAAUACCGGAUGAUGUCUUCGGACCAAAGAUUUAUCGGCAAAGGAUGAGCCCGCGUAGGAUUAGGUAGUUGGUGGGGUAAAGGCCUACCAAGCCGACGAUCCUUAGCUGGUCUGAGAGGAUGAUCAGCCACACUGGGACUGAGACACGGCCCAGACUCCUACGGGAGGCAGCAGUGGGGAAUAUUGGACAAUGGGCGAAAGCCUGAUCCAGCAAUGCCGCGUGAGUGAUGAAGGCCUUCGGGUCGUAAAGCUCUUUUACCAGGGAUGAUAAUGACAGUACCUGGAGAAUAAGCUCCGGCUAACUCCGUG
Molecule: ribosomal RNA, 454 nt
Filed under: uncultured bacterium
Lineage: Bacteria
Description: bacterial SSU rRNA
Rfam family: Bacterial small subunit ribosomal RNA
Source: RNAcentral